UACGGGGGGGGCAAGCGUUGUCCGGAUUUAUUGGGCGUAAAGAGCGUGUAGGCGGCCAGGUAGGUCUGCUGUGAAAACUCGAGGCUUAACCUCGAGCUGUCGGCGGAAACCAUCUGGCUAGAGUCCGGAAGAGGAGAAUGGAAUUCCCGGUGUAGCGGUGAAAUGCGCAGAUAUCGGGAAGAACCCCCGUGGCGAAGUCGGUUCUCUGGGGCGGUACUGACGCUGAGACGCGGGAGCGUGGGGAGCGAACAGG
This 253-nucleotide ribosomal RNA is filed under the name uncultured bacterium. Its description in RNAcentral is "partial 16S ribosomal RNA". It matches the Rfam family "Bacterial small subunit ribosomal RNA", at positions 524 to 776 of the family's 1533-position model. The record is from RNAcentral.